UACUUUUAGGACACAAAACCCAGGACUUGAUCAGUUGGCUUCAUUUACAUGUAAUACAUCUUAGUUUAAUAUGUAUUGAAUUUUAAUAUGACAGAGAACUUGACUUCUGUAAUCUGAAGAGAAUUGAAGUGCAUUUGCUGCUUGUACUGUGACAGCCAGGAUUUCACUUCCUGGAAGAAUCUGCAAUCACUCAGUUCAAGGUCUGCUGGGAAUUGAGACUAAUUGUGGUGACAAGGCAUCGUCAAGUUUGGCACUUCCACAGCAACUAAAGUUCUGCUCUUUUUUCCAGAGACCUAAAGACUUUAAAAUACCUUUUGGAAAAACCCACAGCUCUGCCUCAUAUAUUUGACUCCUCAGGAAGAUAGUUUUCAGUGAAGAAAAAAGUUCGGGAAGGAAGGAAAACAAAAUUCACUCAUGCCUUAACACAGCUAAUGUUGCACAAAGAAAUUCAAGGAUGGAUAAAGUGAUCCCAUCAGCAGCUGGGGUCUCCAAGGGCACCUUGGGGGUCUGUCUCAAGAGGUGAUACAGCUGCACAUCAGGCUGGGAUAUAUCUGAGCACUAAAGACUCUUUGUCUUGCUUCAGUGUACAAGCGCAUGAGUGAGAUACUAAAACACAGUAAGAAACAAUUUAGGUAAGUCCUAAAUGCAUGCUGUUUUUUAAAGAACAGUAUUUUAAGUUUCAGGCCCUAAAAAAAUAAUACUGUCCUUUUAAAAAAGCUUUCCUAAAGAUUUUCUUCUGUGAGUUAAACAAGAGAAAUGCAUACACCUUUGCCAAAAUACUUAGUUUACUAUAUCCUCAUUCAUAUGGCACAGGAGAUCCUAGGCACACAUCCUGUUUUCCUUCCAAAAGGCAACAUCCUUCCAACAUCCACACCAAGCACUGUGGAUGUACCCGAAGUUACCAGAAAUUUCUUGCAGAAUUCAGCUAGUGAUCAAUUGGGAAUGUCCUGGAAAAUGAUGAAGAGCAGAGGAGCACAAGCAAGACAUGUGCUUGUGUCACAUCAAGCCAUCUCAUCUGUUCAGUGUUGGGGUUUGCCCUGGAAAAGCAUUGGAAGCUUCUGCAAAAAUGCACAAAAAUAAACUGAUUUUGUAAAAACAUGGGAGAGGGAAAAGUGGGAGUAUGUUAAUAAAUCUGCCAUCAAAUGUUGUCAGAAGAAUACUAAAUUCACCUGUAUCAAUUUAAAAUUACUGUGUAAGAGUCCUCUCCAAGUCAUGUCAGCUUUAUAUGAAGAAUUUCCUAACUUUUUUGUAGUGAUUAUCUCAAAUCAAGUUUCAGGAAGAUAUCUGGUAAAAUCUACAACUAAAGGAAGUAUUACGAAAGCUGAAGACACACAGAACAGUUAUUAAAACCUCAGGCCACACUAAACUGAGUGAAAAAUAAUGAAAAGGAUAUCAUUAUUAUUCAGAACUAGAAGUUAAUUGCUUGAUGAAAAUUAGAUGGUUUACAUACUAUGGUGAUUUCUGAGAGCAUAGCCUAUUUUAUUUUGUUCAAAUGGCCUUUGGAAGAAAGGUGGUCUGGUUUUGUUCUGUACUGGCCCAUUUAUGGCAAUAUGCUAUUUCAAUAAUAGCUCUAACAGAUCAGCAGAUGCAGUGAAGCAAUGCAGGCUCUAAGGCUGUUGAAAACCCUUCAAAUAGCCUGAAAAUUUAGGGAGCAGAUGUCAUUCUGGCACUAACUGUUUCUUACUCCAAGAAUACAAUUUGUGAUUCAGGAACUAAGAUAUUCCCUCUAUUACAGUGGACAAUUUUCUUAAUGGUGAACAAAGAACUGCUGAAAACUGAUUUUUCUUUAUAUCAGACUUUGCCAGGCACAAGAAAAGAACAGAAUACAAUAAUUCUAUGCACCAGAAAUGUGAAUUAAAAACUCAAAUGUGGAAAAUGCAGUGUUAUGCAGAUGAGGGCAGGACACUUCUACCAACAUGUGCCCUUACUGUGAAGGAGGAACACCCACCUCUCCUGCAACCAGAUGAGUCAGACAGCAUCCAGGAGCUUCAUUCCAGGAAUCUGUCCCACUCAGAAACCCAGAAAAGAAUCCCAGAGAACUGACAUUUUCUUAAUAAAAGGGAAAGCACAGUGAGCAAACACUCUGAACAAAGUCUACCCUGAACAUUGAACAAAAGACCCUAAAAUCGCCAUGUGCUCCUCUUCAACUAUUUGCCUUAAUGAACUAUACAGGUUCUCAGUCCAACCUGAUCUGAUAUCUUUAGCAAGCUGGGAUCUAUUCCUGGGACCUUUGCUCCAGGCACAAACAGCAAACCAGCAUGGUACAGGAAAUCCUGGACUUGGCUUUUCCCUUCUUUGCUUUAACACCUCCCUUAGACAGUGAAAAAAACUCACUUGCCAUCCUGGCAGCUGGUUCUGCUACAGAACUCAGCUCCAGAAGAGGCUGCUCCUGGCCCUUACCUCUGCUGGCCAGGUCUCUAUUGGGUGAGGAGGAGACCAUAGAGUGGGGCUUGGCCUCUGCCCUGCUGCCCAGACCAGGACACAAGGCACUACGGGAGCAUUAAGCCCCACAUCACCAUUACCCUGGCAUGGCUGGGUCUCACACAGAUGCAGAACAGCAGAGCUGCUGAAGGCCUCCAUACCAGGUAUCCCAUACUGUAGGCCUGGCAAGGGGAGAAUAGCUUCUCACCAAGGAACAUGCCUAAGAUCAACUGCUUAGGACAGCUUGUUGCCAACUGCACAGGCCAUCCAGAUUUUUGAGCUACAGUGUAGUUUGUCAAGCUAACAUACAAAGCUGGUCCGCCUUUCUGCAUGGAGUGAAAAAAAAGCGCACUAUGAACAGUUCCUGCUGCUAUGCCAAGAAUUAUACCAAGGAAAAGAAACCUACUCAAGGGAGUCUGCAAACCAUUUUAACCAGGAAUCAAACAGGGUGGGUUUUUUUCUUAAUGGAGUGCUAUGCUACAUUAGCAAAAGUGAUGUGACAUUAUGAAUGUAAAAGUGUAUAUAAAAGCCUAACAUAACAGUAUUUUCAGAACAGGGAGGGGAGGUGGGGAGAGAAAGGGGAAGAGAGCAGCAGACAUUUUUGAAGCAGUCUUGGAAAUGUUAAGUAGAACAUAUUUGUAGCUAUUAAUUUGUAACCUUUUCCAUCUCAUUUCUUCUGGAAUAUAUAUAUUCCUACAACCAGGUGACACAGAAAAACACAAAAUAGCCCUAAGGGUAUCUACAUACAGCUUUCACCAGAAAAUUGCCUGGGAGCAGGGGCAUUCAAUUUGCAACCUGUCGAAGUGGUCCACUUCACCUACCACUGGCAGCUGGAUAAGUUGCUUUCAAGGUAAUACCUGUUACUAGCCACCACCUUUCCAGGGAGAGGGCAAGGAGGAUGAGGCUCAUCAGCUGCCACGGCAGCAGCAAGGCCCUGGAAUCCCAGUGCUGUACCCCACACUUGCACAUUGUAGGUGUGUUCACCAGAAGCCAGAAGUGAGCACGUGAAUCUUAAGUACUUAGAGACUGUAGAGCUGCAGAAGCUACAGCAGCGUGCUCUGCUCAGGAAGCAGGCUGCAAACAGUGGUUCCAAGGCCACACCACUGCUGCCCAGGCAGAAGGCUGCCUGACUGCUUGUGUUUCAGACCACCCACCAGCUCAGGCAGUAGAGCAAAAGCCAAUCACCACAGCAGGUUUUCAUUUAUGGUAGAGUUAAACAGCCAGGGCUUCCUUUGCACACAGCAGACACAGCACAUGUCCAGGACUCAAUUGUUAGGUAUCUGCUCUAAGGAGAAAAUUACACCUUGAACCCAUCUCUCUCCCCUAGUCAGAGAAACGAAGAGAGUUACUCAAAUUGACCCCACCAUGGAAAGCAUUCACCUCCCAGCUUCAGAACUCAGGCACACCAAAUACGCCAGUAAACCAAUGGGCAAGCCCGAGUUACCAGGACAGGGAUGACACUGUCCACAUAAAGGAGCCUGGGUUUGAAUUCACCUUGGAUAGAAAGUGAAAUACAGAAGUCUAUGGCUGUGCAAUGUCACUGGUUGCCUGGGAUGCUGUACAUGACUGCAGGCUGUUUGCUGUCCUCUCCAGCCCUGUUGUCUCUGCCAUCAAGUGCAUGACAUUCCUGGAGCAAAAUUUCAGAUCAGGCCAAUCACAUGGCCCAAAGCUCACAUUUAGUAAUAUCAGCAAAUGUGUGUCUCCUCAUUCUCCCUUUCCCAAAAUCAGUUGUGUUGAAAGAAAGGAAUGAUACAGAAGGUGUGAUAAAAAUUUAAAAUCUGAUAUAAUGAAUAUGCUAAGAUGCUUCAAUUUCUGUCCUAGCAGCCAGCAGGGUUAUGUUGUUUUGUUGGUUUUUUGUUUUUUGGUUUUUUUUUUAAUGGACAAGAUAAACUUUUCUACAAGGAAAUAAUAAAAAUACUCAAAAAAGUCAAUGCAUAUACCACAAAAAACUCCACCAAAAUUCCACUAAAAAUCCAGAAUUUUAAGUUUGGAAUAACAACCCUUUUUACAAAGACAUUUUAUAGGUUGAGCGUAUGCAUUCACAAAAGCAACAAGCUAAGGCAUAUUCUCCUUAGCCGUGUUUGUAAAAGAAAAGCUCUGGAAAGCUAUGUGACUUGAUCUCAUGUAAAUCUUGUCAAGGUACAGGCAGUAUGAAUAUUAAAUAUUUAAAUUACUUUUGCAUGUAAUGGACUAUCAGUUUAUACAGUUAUGAAUAUGAGCUAAAUUAGUUUCAAAUCACUGCAACAAAUACUCCAGUAAGAGCAUGAAUCUUAAACAGCAUUUUAAAGUGCUCAUUAGAAACCCAACAUUUCAAUUAAGAAAUGUUAAAGAUAUUACAUUCCUUACAUAUCAAGUCCAAAGGUACAAUAUGUACACAAUCUACCAUCUUGUCUUUACAAAUAGGAAGUCAUUUACCUGCGUACAAACAUGACUAGUAGCCAAAGUGAACCUGAAAGACUAUUUUGAUUUGGCCAGAAAAACAAAAAAAACAUCCCUUCCCCUGAACAGUUAUCCCACACAUACUGCUAUCAGAAUUCUAUAUCCCAAGCACUGCCCCUUUGGCCAAUCUCCUUGUCUAAUUCUCUUUACACCUACUCAUGAAGCAUCUGCCAGUACUUUGCCAGUAAAAAAUCACACCAUCUCUCUUGUAACAGAAUUGCUUGGGUCUCUAGGAACUGGCAAGGCUUCUGUUAAAGACAAAAUGCAACUGAAGAAAUAUGCCCUGCAAUAUACCACAGUUUGCAAAAAGAAAAGAGCUCUUAACUAGAUAGCCCAUCAUAUAACAAAAAUUUUGACAGUUUUUAGUUAAUUUUUGAAUGAACUGUAGUGCUUAUUUAAAAAAAAUGAAACUAAUUAUGAGGCAUUUGUGACACCUUUAAAAGCCUACAUCAGCUUUCUUAUAAAACCCUAACCUGUCCCUUUCAAUCCAUAAAUGCAGUACAUUUGCUAGAUAAGUCUUGUCCUUACAGCAACUAAUCAAACGGCUUCAUCCACUACAAGUUUUCUGUGAUUUUGACUUAACAGUUUUGCAGCAUGUGGUAUUACUCUGUGCACAGGUUAAGCCUGUUUCACAAAGGACUAAUACGAGGUACUGUGAAAUGUUAGCAUUGUGCAUCAUUUUAAUCCCCAUAGCGCACAUGCUUUUCAGUAAUCCCCUUCGAAGUACAUGACAAAUUUUCGAAGAUACAAACAACCAUAAAACACAAAUCCAAAGUUCAUUAAAGCACAAUAUAAAUAUUUAUGUUUCUGUCAUUGAUUUCAUGUCUCAGCUGCCAUGAAUGGCAACAUUUUGUCUUUUCAGACUUUGCAACUGGACAUUGUCCUUUUCAGACAAAGAGUAUACUCACUCAUAUACAGUAACAUGACAGUACAGUAAAAUCAAAACCCAAAAAAUAAAAUAACAGUGAACAUUCCAUAAGCAGAUUCUUAAAUUUAGGUAAACAUUUCUGCUAAGCUAAAGGCAAAAAUAUGCUGUACAAAAUCAUGGUAGCAUCUCAGUAAUAAGCUUUGUUUAGCUUAGCUUCAGCGUAGUGUGUGGCCAGCUUGAUCUAUACAAUUUCUUAAAAGAAGAGGAAGAUAAAAGAUUGUAAAGCUCUAGUUCUGCUCUACUUGUACCCAUUAGCAGAUUCUUUCCUCGCAAAACAUUCAUGUGAAAAAAAUCAACUGUGGCACUCAGCUGAGUUACAAAACACACAUUUAUAGACAACAGGAGAUGUCAAGGUGAUAAACGACUCAUUGGACUGCUUUCUUCUCCUCCUGCAGCAAGCUU
This is a non-coding RNA of Taeniopygia guttata (zebra finch), 6190 nucleotides long. The record is from RefSeq and is a predicted model, not a curated record. NCBI's taxonomy places the organism in Eukaryota, Metazoa, Chordata, Aves, Passeriformes, Estrildidae.